Molecule: ribosomal RNA, 281 nt
Filed under: uncultured Aciditerrimonas sp.
Lineage: Bacteria; Bacillati; Actinomycetota; Acidimicrobiia; Acidimicrobiales; Acidimicrobiaceae
Description: partial 16S ribosomal RNA
Rfam family: Bacterial small subunit ribosomal RNA
Source: RNAcentral
AUCAUGCCCCUUACGUCCAGGGCUGCACACAUGCUACAAUGGCCGGUACAACGGGCUGCUAUCCCGCGAGGGGGAGCCAAUCCCAAAAGCCGGUCUCAGUUCGGAUCGCAGUCUGCAACUCGACUGCGUGAAGUCGGAGUCGCUAGUAAUCCCGGAUCAGCAAUUUCGGGGGGAAUACGUUCCCGGGCCUUGUACACACCGCCCGUCACACCACGAAAGUCGGCAACACCCGAAGCCGGUGGCCCAACCCUUGUGGAGGGAGCCGUCGAAGGUGGGGUCGG